This 607-nucleotide ribosomal RNA is filed under the name uncultured bacterium. RNAcentral describes it as "bacterial SSU rRNA". The stretch from base 1 to 541 matches the Rfam family "Bacterial small subunit ribosomal RNA", at positions 338 to 873 of the family's 1533-position model. The record is from RNAcentral.
CCUACGGGAGGCAGCAGUGGGGAAUUUUGGACAAUGGGCGCAAGCCUGAUCCAGCCAUGCCGCGUGCGGGAAGAAGGCCUUCGGGUUGUAAACCGCUUUUGUCAGGGAAGAAAUCCUUUGAGAUAAUACCUCGGAGGGAUGACGGUACCUGAAGAAUAAGCACCGGCUAACUACGUGCCAGCAGCCGCGGUAAUACGUAGGGUGCGAGCGUUAAUCGGAAUUACUGGGCGUAAAGCGUGCGCAGGCGGUCUUGCAAGACAGAUGUGAAAUCCCCGGGCUCAACCUGGGAACUGCAUUUGUGACUGCAAGGCUAGAGUACGGUAGAGGGGGAUGGAAUUCCGCGUGUAGCAGUGAAAUGCGUAGAUAUGCGGAGGAACACCGAUGGCGAAGGCAAUCCCCUGGACCUGUACUGACGCUCAUGCACGAAAGCGUGGGGAGCAAACAGGAUUAGAUACCCUGGUAGUCCACGCCCUAAACGAUGUCAACUGGUUGUUGGACGGCUUGCUGUUCAGUAACGAAGCUAACGCGUGAGUUGACCGCCUGGGGNGCGCGCGAGUAGAGANAGAGAGUGAGNGNGAGAGNGCGAGGACGACGACGAGGGAGGAGG